Non-coding RNA from Ictidomys tridecemlineatus (thirteen-lined ground squirrel), 181 nucleotides. The record is from RefSeq and is a predicted model, not a curated record. Lineage: Eukaryota; Metazoa; Chordata; Mammalia; Rodentia; Sciuridae.
CUUAAGACUUAAGAUGCCCGAGGAACUGCAACCUGUCCAGACGUCCAAGUGCUAGCAUGGACCAUAGCUAAAGUUACACUUCUUGCUGCUGCUAAUUCCUGUAAGAAUGACUAGAUAAUGGUGGUGGAUAAUUCUGAUGUAAAGAUAUAAAGACAUAUUGGAGCAACUAAGUCUUUAUAAA